This 497-nucleotide ribosomal RNA is filed under the name uncultured bacterium. Its description in RNAcentral is "partial 16S ribosomal RNA". It matches the Rfam family "Bacterial small subunit ribosomal RNA", at positions 28 to 507 of the family's 1533-position model. The record is from RNAcentral.
GAUGAACGCUGGCGGCGUGCCUAAUACAUGCAAGUCGAGCGAACAGACGAGGAGCUUGCUCCUUUGACGUUAGCGGCGGACGGGUGAGUAACACGUAGGUAACCUACCUAUAAGACUGGGAUAACUUCGGGAAACCGGAGCUAAUACCGGAUAAUAUUUCGAACCGCAUGGUUCGAUAGUGAAAGAUGGCUUUGCUAUCACUUAUAGAUGGACCCGCGCCGUAUUAGCUAGUUGGUAAGGUAACGGCUUACCAAGGCAACGAUGCGUAGCCGACCUGAGAGGGUGAUCGGCCACACUGGAACUGAGACACGGUCCAGACUCCUACGGGAGGCAGCAGUAGGGAAUCUUCCGCAAAGGGCGAAAGCCUGACGGAGCAACGCCGCGUGAGUGAUGAAGGUCUUCGGAUCGUAAAACUCUGUUAUUAGGGAAGAACAAACGUGUAAGUAACUGUGCACGUCUUGACGGUACCUAAUCAGAAAGCCACGGCUAACUACGUG